RNAcentral lists this long non-coding RNA (718 nucleotides) under Eucalyptus grandis. RNAcentral's name for it is "long non-coding RNA (EGRA_LNC002130)". The record is from RNAcentral. Lineage: Eukaryota; Viridiplantae; Streptophyta; Magnoliopsida; Myrtales; Myrtaceae.
GUUUCAUUCAUUUAAUGGACUAUUUUAAAUCUGAGCUGGUAUUCUAACGUUUUCUCCCACUUCCCCACCACCACCAUCACGCACGCACCAUUGCCACGUCGCUCUUUAUGAAAUGUUGCAGCAGUUUUGUCUUCUUCGUAGGAGACCUAUAGAUAUGGUCUCCUCCGUUAAUGGAGGAGACUAGCAAGCAUAUCUCAUCUCCUUCAUUCCGAGGAGACGUUCGGGGGGACUUGUCAAUGCUGAGAUAAGGUACAAAACGGACUGAGGGAGGGAGCGAGCGAGAGAGAGAGAGAGAGAGAGAGAGAGAGUCGUCAUGGUCGUUGCUUGGAGUGGUGGAGGCACUUUGUUGUCAUCUCCGAAGUAGAGUAGCUGUUGCCGUGGAGGACACGGAGUGUGUUUUGGUAUGGUAGAGAGAGAGAGAGAGAGUCGGUUGUGUGGUCCGACGAGCAUGAAGGCCGACGCUAGGCUCAGCUAAGGUGGUGGGCGAAUGAUGUGGCGGCGGCAAUGUCGUGAGGUGCAAGCCAGAGAGUGGAGGUAAAGGUUGAGGAGAAGGAGAGAGAGAGAGAGAGAGAGGGGGGGCGGGGGGUAAAAUUCAAACGGCGCCUCAUUAAAUGGGUAAAUUAGAUGGGAACCAUGCAUAAAUUAGUUGUCCACACAGUUCAUUCAGAGGUGAUAAUGCAUAAGUCAUAUAUGUUAAUUACCUUUACACCCGCGGGAG